GAUGAAGAACGUAGCGAAAUGCGAUAAGUAAUGCGAAUUGCAGAAUUUCCGUGAGUCAUCGAAUCUUUGAACGCACAUUGCGCCCGCUAGUAUUCUGGCGGGCAUGCCUGUUCGAGCGUCAUUUCAACCAUCAAGCCCUGUUUAGGCUUGUGUUGGGGCCCUGCGGCUGCCGCAGCCCCCUAAAUGCAGUGGCGGGCUCGUUGUCACUCCGAGCGCAGUAGCGUAUCUCGCUCUGGGCGUGGCGGCGGGUGCUAGCCGUGAAACACCCACUAAGGUUGACCUCGGAUCAGGUAGGAAUACCCGCUGAACUUAAGCAUAUCAAUAAGCGGAGGA
Molecule: unclassified non-coding RNA, 333 nt
Filed under: soil metagenome
Description: partial contains 5.8S ribosomal RNA, internal transcribed spacer 2, and large subunit ribosomal RNA
Rfam family: 5.8S ribosomal RNA (bases 1-121)
Source: RNAcentral